GUAGUCCACGCUGUAAACGAUGAGUGCUAGAUAUCGGGAGAAUCUCUCUCGGUUUCGUAGCUAACGCGUUAAGCACUCCGCCUGGGGAGUACGGUCGCAAGAUUAAAACUCAAAGGAAUUGACGGGGGCUCGCACAAGCGGUGGAGCAUGCGGUUUAAUUCGAUGUUACGCGAAAAACCUUACCAACCCUUGACAUGGUGGUCGCGGGAAGCAGAGAUGCAUCCCUUCGGUUCGGCCGGACCACACACAGGUGUUGCAUGGCUGUCGUCAGCUCGUGUCGUGAGAUGUUGGGUUAAGUCCCGCAACGAGCGCAACCCUUAUUCUUAUUUGCCAGCGGGUUAUGCCGGGAACUAUAAGGAAACUGCCGGUGAUAAGCCGGA
This 380-nucleotide ribosomal RNA is filed under the name uncultured bacterium. RNAcentral's name for it is "bacterial SSU rRNA". It matches the Rfam family "Bacterial small subunit ribosomal RNA", at positions 790 to 1167 of the family's 1533-position model. The record is from RNAcentral.